AUGGACUGCUCGAGUUCCAAAGAGACCCCACCGCACAAGGCGUGGUGGACCGGCGAGACGGUGGCGGUGGUGACGGGGGCCAACCGUGGCAUUGGGCACGCGCUGGCCGCGCGCCUGGCGGAGCGCGGGCUAUCCGUGGUGCUCACGGCGCGGGACGAGGCGCGCGGGGCGGCCGCCGCCGCGGAGCUCCGCGCCAGGGGUCUCCCGUCCGUGCGGUUCCGCCGCCUCGACGUCACCGACCCCGCCUCUGUCGCCGCCUUCGCCUCCUGGAUCCGCGACCACGUCGGCGGCCUCGACAUUCUGGUGAACAAUGCCGGGGUAUCGUUCAACGAGAUCGAUACCAACUCGGUGGAGCAUGCUGAGACAGUCCUAAAGACGAACUUCUAUGGAGCCAAGAUGCUCAUCGAGGCGCUCCUGCCCCUUUUCCGUCGAUCCUCUGGGACCAGCCGGAUCCUGAACCUCAGCUCCCAGCUUGGCCUUCUCAAUAAGGUGAGGGACCCGUCGUUGAGGAUCAUGCUGCUGGACGAGGGCAGGCUGACGGAGCAGGAGGUCGAGGCCAUGGCGUCGCGGUUCCUGGCGCAGGUGAAGGACGGGACGUGGCAGGACCACGGGUGGCCGGCCGUGUGGACGGACUACGCGGUCUCCAAGCUGGCCCUCAACGCCUACUCCCGCCUCCUCGCCGCGCGGCUGGGGGGGGCCGUAGCUGUCAACUGCUUCUGCCCCGGGUUCACGCGGACAGACAUGACGCGGGGGUGGGGCAAGCGCACCGCCGAGGAGGCCGGCCGCGUCGCCGCGGGGCUCGCGCUGCUGCCCCCCGCCGACCUCCCCACCGGCAUGUUCUUCAAGUGGUCCACGCCGCAGCUCUACUCCAAGCUCUGA
RNAcentral lists this ribosomal RNA (879 nucleotides) under Triticum aestivum (bread wheat). RNAcentral's name for it is "partial small subunit ribosomal RNA". Lineage: Eukaryota; Viridiplantae; Streptophyta; Magnoliopsida; Poales; Poaceae. The record is from RNAcentral.